RNAcentral lists this long non-coding RNA (643 nucleotides) under Homo sapiens (human). RNAcentral's name for it is "non-protein coding lnc-PFKFB4-4:1". Lineage: Eukaryota; Metazoa; Chordata; Mammalia; Primates; Hominidae. The record is from RNAcentral.
AACUCCUGGCCAGGCCCUGUCCUCCCCACGUACCCCUGCAUCCCCAGCCUCGACCCAGGGACAUGCAGGGCUCACAGGAGACAGGGCUCAGGCUGCCGGAGCUCCAACCAAACUCUGUCCCACUUCACGCACGGACUGUCCUGGGCAAAGGUGUUCACCUUUCCGAGCCUCGGUUUCCUUAUCUGUAAAGCAAAGCGACACCAGCAAGCCUGUGAGCAUUGUGUAUAUAGCAGACAUGGAGGUCCUGCAGCAGGAGGUGCUCAAUAAACACAAAGCGACUGAAGGAUGGGACCAGCAAGCCUGUGAGCAUUGUGUAUGUAGCAGACAUGGAGGUCCUGCAGCAGGAGGUGCUCAAUAAACACAAAGCGACUGAAGGAUGGGAUGUGCGAGAAUCCCAGUGGUGUGCACCCAGGCCGCGACACAUGGUGGUGUGCAUGACCAACUGCCCAACUCUCAUUGUCAUGGUGGGCCUGCCCGCCAGGGGCAAGACCUACAUCUCCAAGAAGCUGACUCGAUACCUGAACUGGAUUGGUGUGCCCACUCGGGAGUUCAAUGUUGGCCAGUAUCGCCGGGACGUGGUCAAGACCUACAAAUCUUUUGAAUUUUUUCUCCCCGACAAUGAAGAGGGCCUGAAAAUCAGGAA